The sequence is a ribosomal RNA, 870 nucleotides long. It matches the Rfam family "Bacterial small subunit ribosomal RNA", at positions 499 to 1365 of the family's 1533-position model.
AAUUACGUGCCAGCAGCCGCGGUAAUACGUAGGGUGCGAGCGUUAUCCGGAAUUAUUGGGCGUAAAGAGCUCGUAGGCGGUUUGUCGCGUCUGUCGUGAAAGUCCGGGGCUUAACCCCGGAUCUGCGGUGGGUACGGGCAGACUAGAGUGCAGUAGGGGAGACUGGAAUUCCUGGUGUAGCGGUGGAAUGCGCAGAUAUCAGGAGGAACACCGAUGGCGAAGGCAGGUCUCUGGGCUGUAACUGACGCUGAGGAGCGAAAGCAUGGGGAGCGAACAGGAUUAGAUACCCUGGUAGUCCAUGCCGUAAACGUUGGGCACUAGGUGUGGGGACCAUUCCACGGUUUCCGCGCCGCAGCUAACGCAUUAAGUGCCCCGCCUGGGGAGUACGGCCGCAAGGCUAAAACUCAAAGGAAUUGACGGGGGCCCGCACAAGCGGCGGAGCAUGCGGAUUAAUUCGAUGCAACGCGAAGAACCUUACCAAGGCUUGACAUGUUCUCGAUCGCCGUAGAGAUACGGUUUCCCCUUUGGGGCGGGUUCACAGGUGGUGCAUGGUUGUCGUCAGCUCGUGUCGUGAGAUGUUGGGUUAAGUCCCGCAACGAGCGCAACCCUCGUUCCAUGUUGCCAGCACGUAAUGGUGGGGACUCAUGGGAGACUGCCGGGGUCAACUCGGAGGAAGGUGAGGACGACGUCAAAUCAUCAUGCCCCUUAUGUCUUGGGCUUCACGCAUGCUACAAUGGCCGGUACAAUGGGUUGCGAUACUGUGAGGUGGAGCUAAUCCCAAAAAGCCGGUCUCAGUUCGGAUUGGGGUCUGCAACUCGACCCCAUGAAGUCGGAGUCGCUAGUAAUCGCAGAUCAGCAACGCUGCGGUGA